UUCCAAUAGCUCAGUUGGUAGAGCAUUAGACUCCUAAUCCAGGGGUUGACGGUUUGAGCCCCACAUUGGGCAA
Molecule: non-coding RNA, 73 nt
Organism: Podarcis lilfordi (Lilford's wall lizard)
Lineage: Eukaryota; Metazoa; Chordata; Lepidosauria; Squamata; Lacertidae
Source: the annotation of a GenBank genome assembly